ACACGUGAGUAACCUGCCCUUAACUCUGGGAUAAGCCUUGGAAACGGGGUCUAAUACUGGAUAUUGACAUGGUCCCGCAUGGGGUUGUGUUGAAAGAUUUAUUGGUUUUGGAUGGACUCGCGGCCUAUCAGCUUGUUGGUGAGGUAAUGGCUCACCAAGGCGACGACGGGUAGCCGGCCUGAGAGGGUACCGGCCACACUGGGACUGAGACACGGCCCAGACUCCUACGGGAGGCAGCAGUGGGGAAUAUUGCACAAUGGGCGAAAGCCUGAUGCAGCGACGCCGCGUGAGGGAUGACGGCCUUCGGGUUGUAACCUCUUUCAGUAGGGAACAAGGCCAGUCGUUGACUGGUUGAGGGUACUUGCAGAAGAAGCGCCGGCUAACUACGUGCCAGCAGCCGCGGUAAUACGUAGGGCGCAAGCGUUAUCCGGAAUUAUUGGGCGUAAAGAGCUCGUAGGCGGUUUGUCGCGUCUGCCGUGAAAGUCCGGGGCUCAACUCCGGAUCUGCGGUGGGUACGGGCAGACUAGAGUGAUGUAGGGGAGACUGGAAUUCCUGGUGUAGCGGUGAAAUGCGCAGAUAUCAGGAGGAACACCGAUGGCGAAGGCAGGUCUCUGGGCAUUAACUGACGCUGAGGAGCGAAAGCAUGGGGAGCGAACAGGAUUAGAUACCCUGGUAGUCCAUGCCGUAAACGUUGGGCACUAGGUGUGGGGGACAUUCCACGUUUUCCGCGCCGUAGCUAACGCAUUAAGUGCCCCGCCUGGGGAGUACGGCCGCAAGGCUAAAACUCAAAGGAAUUGACGGGGGCCCGCACAAGCGGCGGAGCAUGCGGAUUAAUUCGAUGCAACGCGAAGAACCUUACCAAGGCUUGACAUGAACUGGAAAUACCUGGAAACAGGUGCCCCGCUUGCGGUCGGUUUACAGGUGGUGCAUGGUUGUCGUCAGCUCGUGUCGUGAGAUGUUGGGUUAAGUCCCGCAACGAGCGCAACCCUCGUUCUAUGUUGCCAGCACGUAAUGGUGGGGACUCAUAGGAGACUGCCGGGGUCAACUCGGAGGAAGGUGAGGACGACGUCAAAUCAUCAUGCCCCUUAUGUCUUGGGCUUCACGCAUGCUACAAUGGCCGGUACAAUGGGUUGCGAUACUGUGAGGUGGAGCUAAUCCCAAAAAGCCGGUCUCAGUUCGGAUUGGGGUCUGCAACUCGACCCCAUGAAGUCGGAGUCGCUAGUAAUCGCAGAUCAGCAACGCUGCGGUGAAUACGUUCCCGGGCCUUGUACACACCGCCCGUCAAGUCACGAAAGUUGGUAACACCCGAAGCCCAUGGCCCAACCCGCAAGGGAGGGAGUGGUCGAAGGUGGGAC
Molecule: ribosomal RNA, 1355 nt
Filed under: Arthrobacter stackebrandtii
Lineage: Bacteria; Bacillati; Actinomycetota; Actinomycetes; Micrococcales; Micrococcaceae
Description: bacterial SSU rRNA
Rfam family: Bacterial small subunit ribosomal RNA
Source: RNAcentral